Molecule: ribosomal RNA, 477 nt
Filed under: uncultured organism
Description: partial 16S ribosomal RNA
Rfam family: Bacterial small subunit ribosomal RNA
Source: RNAcentral
CGUACACUCCUACGGGAGGCAGCAGUGGGGAAUUUUGGACAAUGGGCGAAAGCCUGAUCCAGCCAUGCCGCGUGCAGGAUGAAGGCCUUCGGGUUGUAAACUGCUUUUGUACGGAACGAAACGGCCUUUUCUAAUAAAGAGGGCUAAUGACGGUACCGUAAGAAUAAGCACCGGCUAACUACGUGCCAGCAGCCGCGGUAAUACGUAGGGUGCAAGCGUUAAUCGGAAUUACUGGGCGUAAAGCGUGCGCAGGCGGUUAUGUAAGACAGUUGUGAAAUCCCCGGGCUCAACCUGGGAACUGCAUCUGUGACUGCAUAGCUAGAGUACGGUAGAGGGGGAUGGAAUUCCGCGUGUAGCAGUGAAAUGCGUAGAUAUGCGGAGGAACACCGAUGGCGAAGGCAAUCCCCUGGACCUGUACUGACGCUCAUGCACGAAAGCGUGGGGAGCAAACAGGAUUAGAUACCCGAGUAGUCCCAU